GCCCGGGUGGUGAAACCGGCAUACACGCAGCGUUCAGAACGCUGUGCUCGCAAGAGCUUGGGAGUUCGAAUCUCCCCCCGGGCACUA
This 87-nucleotide transfer RNA is filed under the name Candidatus Levybacteria bacterium CG10_big_fil_rev_8_21_14_0_10_35_13. Its description in RNAcentral is "tRNA-Leu". It matches the Rfam family "tRNA". Rfam says of the family: Transfer RNA (tRNA) molecules are approximately 80 nucleotides in length. Their secondary structure includes four short double-helical elements and three loops (D, anti-codon, and T loops). Further hydrogen bonds mediate the characteristic L-shaped molecular structure. tRNAs have two regions of fundamental functional importance: the anti-codon, which is responsible for specific mRNA codon recognition, and the 3' end, to which the tRNAs corresponding amino acid is attached (by aminoacyl-tRNA synthetases). tRNAs cope with the degeneracy of the genetic code in two manners: having more than one tRNA (with a specific anti-codon) for a particular amino acid; and 'wobble' base-pairing, i.e. permitting non-standard base-pairing at the 3rd anti-codon position. Lineage: Bacteria; Candidatus Levyibacteriota. The record is from RNAcentral.